RNAcentral lists this long non-coding RNA (416 nucleotides) under Ananas comosus (pineapple). Its description in RNAcentral is "long non-coding RNA (ACOM_LNC026427)". The record is from RNAcentral. Lineage: Eukaryota; Viridiplantae; Streptophyta; Magnoliopsida; Poales; Bromeliaceae.
UCUCGUUCAAGAAAUUAUUGCUCGCACCCGAUACACUUACAAAAUUUUCAUCACAUCUCAUAUCUCAAUUUUAUUAUUAAAUAAAUUACAAUCAUUGUUCAUGCUAGAAUUGUAUGGUUGAAUGCAGGUCGUACUUUUACACUUUAGUACCAUGUGGUUUAAAUUGUAUUAAUUUAGUACCAUGUGGCUUUAUUUUUCUCUUUUCGUCAGUUCCUCUGUUAACAUAUCGUUAAAUUAUACACAAAAAAACUUCAAAUGCCCCACCUAGGUUUAUCGAAUAUUUAUUUCAAUACCUUUUAGUUUUAACUUUGUCAAUGAUUUAACGAAAAAAAAUUAGUGGAAAAGAUAAUAAAAAGAGAAAAAUGAAACUACGGUGUACUAAAUCGAUACACUUUAUACCAUAGGAUACCAAAGUG